Molecule: ribosomal RNA, 253 nt
Filed under: uncultured bacterium
Lineage: Bacteria
Description: partial 16S ribosomal RNA
Rfam family: Bacterial small subunit ribosomal RNA
Source: RNAcentral
UACGUAGGGUGCGAGCGUUGUCCGGAAUUAUUGGGCGUAAAGAGCUCGUAGGCGGCUUGUCGCGUCGGAUGUGAAAGCCCGGGGCUUAACUCCGGGUCUGCAUUCGAUACGGGCAGGCUAGAGUUCGGUAGGGGAGAUCGGAAUUCCUGGUGUAGCGGUGAAAUGCGCAGAUAUCAGGAGGAACACCGGUGGCGAAGGCGGUUCUCUGGGCCUGUACUGACGCUGAGGAGCGAAAGCGUGGGGAGCGAACAGG